Molecule: long non-coding RNA, 3339 nt
Filed under: Varroa destructor (honeybee mite)
Lineage: Eukaryota; Metazoa; Arthropoda; Arachnida; Mesostigmata; Varroidae
Description: uncharacterized LOC111252275, transcript variant X1
Source: RNAcentral
CGCUCGUCGUCGCUGGUAAAAGGGAUGGCGGCGGCGGCGGCGGCGGCGGCGGCGACAGCGACGGUGGUGGCAUCGCCAUUGCCGCAGACGUCACCGUGAUCAGAGGAGGCUUGAACGCUUGGCUUGUUCGUAUUCUCUUGCCCAUCACUCGAUUGUUGUCUCGUCGUCGGUGCUCGAUUCGUCCGCCGGUGCCCGCCGUGCGUCGGGCUGGCGUUCGCCAGCGUCGUAGCUGCAACGCCAGCGGCGGGAGCAAUAAGCAACGUUGUUCGCAGCACAAGAACGUUGUUGUUGUUAGUAUUGAUGGUGGUGUCUCGCUGUAGCUGUCGAUGUGAUGCGACGUCACCAUCAGACGACGAUGCGAUACGCCGAUUUAGCUAAGCGGAGUUCAGCAGAAGCAGCAGCAGCAGCAGCAACUGUUGCGUCCUACGUACGUGUAGCGCGGCACUGCGAUGCCAGCAGUGGAACGAAUAAACGCGCGUAGACGCCGGCGUUUGCCUACUAGUAAUAGUAGUACUAGGGGUAGUGGCAUCAGCGUCAGCACUACGGUACAGCUAACGCAUACAGUUCGUCAGUCGGUCGGUCGGCGCUGUCAGCACCGCUGUGAGAGCAGCGCCUGCCAGUCAGCGUUUCGUGCGAAUUCAGGUGGUUGCUAAAAUCACUAAAUUAUUGUGCGUCGAAAAGUGUCGUGGACAGGAUGGAAUAUAUGCACGCCGAGGAAUCUGAAUUCCCGUUUUUAGCUGUCUAAUAUGCCACUAAAAAGAGCUGAAAUUGGGUGAUCUACACCAAAAUCCGUAUCCAAAUUUACUAAGCUGUUAAAUUUACUUCUACUUGAGGCCAAACAUCUUUAUUGGAAAUAAAGCACACAUAUUAAAGGUAUUCUUGUUGCCUGAUACCAUGAUCUUGCUGCAAUUGCAUCAGUACUUCGCUGCUCAGUUAGUUCUCUGUCCUGCUUUGUUGAAGCUAUCAAAAAUACCUCGUGCUUGUUUCUGCUAUUCAAUCACCCUGCUAGAUAGUAGUUUAUCGAGUUUUAACGAUAUCGCAACACACAGCCGUUGUCAUUGUCUUCUACGAAUUACCACAAUCUACCCACACAUUCCAAUCUACCCACCCGUUUACUACGAAUACUUUUCCGUAGCUGGCUUCAGCUGCAGGACUAAACAUUGAAGACAUGAAAAAAACUUUACAUUUGUUUGGUGAAGUCUCAAGUGUCCAAAAACAUUUUUUCCGUGGUUCCUUUAACGUUAAUAGGUAUGUUUUGAACUUAUAUUCCAUAUUCAGAAUAGGAACUGAUUUCGAAAACGUCAAGUUCCUCAUAGUAUAUCUUAGCCAACACGUAAUAGUGCAGUAGCGACGCGUCUGCUGACAAUCGUUAACGACACGUGAUAGCUGAAGUUCGAAAUCCGAGGGUAGGCAAUUUUCGUAUUGUGUUAGUAGAAGGGUAGGCAGCUCUCCAAAGCGACGCCCAGUGGCUCAUAUGCGGGACGUAAAAAUUCGAAACAUUCAAGAUGAACCUAAAUAUAAAUACGACUACGGCCGUUCCCGAAGUAGUCGACAUUUGUACUUCUAUUCUUUCCAGAAAAGACAAUUGCUACUAUAAUUAGUAUUCUUAGUUAUUAAUAUUACCGGCCUUCUUAAUGACUCUGAUUCACAUAUCAGAAGCGUUCUAUCGGACCUGUCUGUAUCAACCCAGCCUCAACUUUGAACAAAAGCGGUAUGCGUGUGGCUGUGGCUAGUUGCUAACCCAGUUGUCAAUGGUAAACUGCUGGGAAAGGACUGCCACUUAGUCAGCUUAUGCAAGCACUAUUACGCUCAAUUGGUUUUCACCGAAGUCGCUGUCAUCAACAAUUCAGCGGCGAUCUCCAUGUUGGAUCAGCUGGUUUAGAAUUAGUUCCACCACACAAAAGACUAAACAAGACUCUCGUUAUUUGCCACGCUUUCUAUCUAACAUGUACACACUAGAGGCCCCAUAUUCACGUACUUCUGUUUGGAAAAGCGAAAAUAAAGCUUCACAUAUUCAGGCCAGCCAGCGUUGGGUCGGUGGAGUUGAUAGACGCUUGUCCAGCAAGCACAACUUCGGCAAACGUGUGCACUAACGGAUUUAAACACAGUGUCAUGAGAGAAUUUAGUUUCCUACGGACUUAGACAGAACCUGUGCGUAAUGUGGAUGUUGUAUGCGCGUACAGAUUUGGUAGUUCGGAUCUUACUUUAAAGAGAUUUUGCAUAUCUCGAUGAUGGACAAUGUUGCACAUGCGAAUGUGCCUCGCUCACUUUGAAGUACGCCCCCGAUUAGGUGACAUAUAGGAGAACGGUCAUUAAAGAAGCAGAUCUUUUGGCAGUAUACAGAUUUUGUCACUGUACAGCUUCUUAUUGAUACGUAUAGCUGUUCAUAUGCGAGGCCUCCGUAUUCGAUAGUAACUUUAAAAAGCAAUUCAUUAAUUUUUCCUAAUCCGUCGACCUAGUACUAGGACAUUCUACGCUUCGAAAUUACGGUCGUCACGGUUGACCUAGAGGAAGAGGAGCUGUUUCCUUCCAGCUCGAAAUCGAACUUUAUUUGCAAUCCGUUCUAGGAAAGUCAACCGGAUAAGUUCCUUGUUCGAAGUAACUCAAUUACCGUGAUCCUUUUUCGAGACAAACACUUAAUUCGACUAUAACAAACAAUUUUCUUGAAGAAUGGAUUGUACAUAUUUGUCCUAGUGCGAACAACGCCUGAAUUCAUGUUUGUACCGCGCAGUGGUACGAGCAGAAAAGGUCACGACCAGUAGCUACUCCAAUGACAGUGACAGCGUUAUAAUGUUGUGAUUGAUGCUUUCCGCAUUAUUCUAAUUAGUGAGCCUACCUAUUUGCCAGAAAAGACUAUAGUGCUAUGUAGCUCAGCCGUAGCCUCGUUUGUCAUCUAAUGAUUCGUCCAAGAUAGCUAUAAUAGAAACAAUUUGUUGAUACCACCUGCUACAGAGGCCGGUCUCCUAAAUAGAAGCUGUUAAAGAAGCACCCCGAUUAUAAUUAAGUGUUAACUUAUGACCGUGAGCGUCUCAGCUUUAUCUGCAAUCCGGUCUAGGUGCAAUCACAAUGGCGCGAAAGAUCAGAUACGAUGGGCCACAAAAUAAGCCAACAUUCUACAUCGCGUAAUAAGGUUAUCUAUUAUCACGCUCUUGUCAGGGUCAUAGCUUACAUUUUCAGUGGGGUUAUUUUCAUUGCUACUACUGCUGAUUAAGUCUAUCUGGGUUGAAGUAAAACUAACAAAUGUAAUACAUUUCUAUUCGUGACUUAGUAGUAGGUGGAAAAUAAGAAAGUCUAUCAGAAAAUGGUUUGAGUUUUGCAGUACGACUCAUGCGUGUACAA